CUCGUAGGCGGUUCGUCGCGUCCGGUGUGAAAGUCCAUCGCUUAACGGUGGAUCCGCGCCGGGUACGGGCGGGCUUGAGUGCGGUAGGGGAGACUGGAGUUCCCGGUGUAACGGUGGAAUGUGUAGAUAUCGGGAAGAACACCAAUGGCGAAGGCAGGUCUCUGGGCCGUCACUGACGCUGAGGGGCGAAAGCGUGGGGAGCGAACA
Molecule: ribosomal RNA, 207 nt
Filed under: uncultured bacterium
Lineage: Bacteria
Description: partial 16S ribosomal RNA
Rfam family: Bacterial small subunit ribosomal RNA
Source: RNAcentral